AGUGAACGCUGGCGGUAGGCCUAACACAUGCAAGUCGAACGGCAGCACAGUAAGAGCUUGCUCUUACGGGUGGCGAGUGGCGGACGGGUGAGGAAUACAUCGGAAUCUACUUUUUCGUGGGGGAUAACGUAGGGAAACUUACGCUAAUACCGCAUACGACCUACGGGUGAAAGCAGGGGAUCUUCGGACCUUGCGCGAUUGAAUGAGCCGAUGUCGGAUUAGCUAGUUGGCGGGGUAAAGGCCCACCAAGGCGACGAUCCGUAGCUGGUCUGAGAGGAUGUUCGGCCACACUGAACUUGAGAACCGUCCCGGCCCCUUAGGGAGGCAGCAGUGGGGAAUAUUGGACAAUGGGCGCAAGCCUGAUCCAGCCAUACCGCGUGGGUGAAGAAGGCCUUCGGGUUGUAAAGCCCUUUUGUUGGGAAAGAAAAGCAGCAGGUUAAUACCCCGCUGUUCUGACGGUACCCAAAGAAUAAGCACCGGCUAACUUCGUG
This 491-nucleotide ribosomal RNA is filed under the name uncultured bacterium. RNAcentral describes it as "partial 16S ribosomal RNA". It matches the Rfam family "Bacterial small subunit ribosomal RNA", at positions 29 to 507 of the family's 1533-position model. The record is from RNAcentral.